GAUUCAUAAUAACUUUGCAAAUCGCGGGCCAAUGUCUGCGAUGAUACAAACGAGUUUCUGACCUAUCAACUUUAGAUGGCAGGAUAGGGGCUUGCCAUGGUGACAACGGGUGACGGGGAAUUAUGGUUCGAUUCCGGAGAGGGAGCCUGAGAAAACGGCUACCACUUCCAAGGAAGGCAGCAGGCGCGCAAAAUUACCCAAUACUGAUUCGGUGAGGUAGUGACAAGAAAUACCAAUAUAGGACCCAACGGGUACUAUUUUGGAAUGAGUACAAUUUAAAAACCUUAACGAGGAACAAUUGGAGGGCAAGUCUGGUGCCAGCAGCCGCGGUAAUUCCAGCUCCAAUAGUGUAUAUUAAAGUUGCUGCGGUUAAAAAGCUCGUAGUUGGAUUUCGGAGUUGUUAUCUGAACCUUCUCGCCAUAAAAGU
RNAcentral lists this ribosomal RNA (427 nucleotides) under uncultured eukaryote. RNAcentral's name for it is "bacterial SSU rRNA". It matches the Rfam family "Eukaryotic small subunit ribosomal RNA", at positions 248 to 676 of the family's 1831-position model. The record is from RNAcentral.